GAUGAACGCUGGCGGCGUGCCUAAUACAUGCAAGUCGAGCGAACAGACGAGGAGCUUGCUCCUCUGACGUUAGCGGCGGACGGGUGAGUAACACGUGGAUAACCUACCUAUAAGACUGGGAUAACUUCGGGAAACCGGAGCUAAUACCGGAUAACAUGUUGAACCGCAUGGUUCAACAGUGAAAGACGGUCUUGCUGUCACUUAUAGAUGGAUCCGCGCCGCAUUAGCUAGUUGGUAAGGUAACGGCUUACCAAGGCAACGAUGCGUAGCCGACCUGAGAGGGUGAUCGGCCACACUGGAACUGAGACACGGUCCAGACUCCUACGGGAGGCAGCAGUAGGGAAUCUUACGCAAUGGGCGAAAGCCUGACGGAGCAACGCCGCGUGAGUGAAGAAGGUCUUCGGAUCGUAAAACUCUGUUAUGAGGGAAGAACAAAUGUGUAAGUAACUAUGCACGUCUUGACGGUACCUAAUCAGAAAGCCACGGCUAACUACGUG
This 497-nucleotide ribosomal RNA is filed under the name uncultured bacterium. RNAcentral describes it as "partial 16S ribosomal RNA". It matches the Rfam family "Bacterial small subunit ribosomal RNA", at positions 28 to 507 of the family's 1533-position model. The record is from RNAcentral.